GCUACUGGGUAGGACUCUGGGGGAUAAGGUGGUUAGUGGAUGGAGUGGGGGAUUUUGUUAAGAUUUUAAAUUUAAUUUAUUUUAAUUUUUUUCUUUUCCUCAAAAUUCCUCUCUACAUUUGACAUUCUUUCUUUUCCCAAAUUCUUCUUCCAAACGUUUGGUAAGUGAUCGAGCCUUUCGAAUGGGAAAUACUUUCAAGUAUGUCAAUUGGGGUUUUGGUAUUUUUUUG
RNAcentral lists this long non-coding RNA (229 nucleotides) under Gossypium raimondii (Peruvian cotton). RNAcentral's name for it is "long non-coding RNA (GRAI_LNC005810)". The record is from RNAcentral. Lineage: Eukaryota; Viridiplantae; Streptophyta; Magnoliopsida; Malvales; Malvaceae.